GCACUGGUGGUUCAGUGGUAGAAUCCUUGCCUUCCGUGCCGGAGACCCAGGUUCAAUUCCCAGUCAGUACA
RNAcentral lists this transfer RNA (71 nucleotides) under Loxodonta africana (African savanna elephant). It matches the Rfam family "tRNA". From Rfam's summary of the family: Transfer RNA (tRNA) molecules are approximately 80 nucleotides in length. Their secondary structure includes four short double-helical elements and three loops (D, anti-codon, and T loops). Lineage: Eukaryota; Metazoa; Chordata; Mammalia; Proboscidea; Elephantidae. The record is from Rfam by way of RNAcentral.